UUUCUUGUCUUCCACUCUAG
This 20-nucleotide microRNA is filed under the name Mus musculus (house mouse). Its description in RNAcentral is "mmu-miR-6964-3p". The record is from miRBase by way of RNAcentral. Lineage: Eukaryota; Metazoa; Chordata; Mammalia; Rodentia; Muridae.